AGUCCUGUUGAUCCUGCAGGAGGUUGCUGCUAUUGGGAUACGGUUUAGCCAUGCAAGUCAGGGGUUCGCAAGAACACCGGCGUAAGGCUCAGUAACACGUUGAUAAUCUGCCCUUAGGUUCAGGAUAAGGUCGGGAAACUGACUUUAAAACUGGAUAGAGAAUUGAUACUGGAACGUACUUUUCUUGAAAAGCAAUGCCUAAGGAUGAGUCAGUGGCUGAUUAGGUUGUUGGUGAGGUAAUGGCUCACCAAGCCAAAGAUCAGUAGGGGGGAUGAGAGUCCUAGCCCCGAGAAGGGCACUGAGAUACUGGCCCUAGCUCUAAGGAGUGCAGCAGGCGCGAAAACUUUACAAUGCGCGAAAGCGUGAUAAGGGUAUCCCAAGUGCUUUACUUAUGUAAGGCUUUUGCCAAGUGUAAGUAGCUUGGCGAAUAAGUGGUGGGCAAGACCGGUGCCAGCCGCCGCGGUAACACCGGCGCCACGAGUGGUGACCAUUUUUAUUGGGUCUAAAGCGUCCGUAGCAGGUUCUGUAAAUCUUUUGUGAAAUUGUUGCGCUUAACGUAACAGCGUGCAAGAGAGACUGCAAAACUAGGAACCGGGAGGGGACAGAGGUAUUUUGUGGGGAGCGGUAAAAUGCUAUAAUCCACGAAGGACCACCUGUGGCGUAGGCGUCUGUCUAGAACGGGUUCGACUGUGAGGGACGAAGGCUGAGGGAGCGAUCGGGAUUAGAUAUAAACAAAUUUUUGUUUACUAAAUACCCCAGUAGUCUCAGCAGUAAACGCUGCGAGCUAUGUGUUGCAUGUUCUUUGGGAACAUGCAGUGCCUAAGCGAAGGUGUUAAGCUCGCCACCUGGGAAGUACGGCCGCAAGACUGAAACUUAAAGGAAUUGGCGGGGGCUCACUACAAGGGGUGCGGCGUGCGGUUUAAUUGGAUUCUACGCCGGAAAUCUCACCAGGAACGACAGGCAGAAUGAAGGUCAGAUUGAAGGUCUUACCUAACAAGCCGAGAGGAGGUGCAUGGCCGUCGUCAGUUCGUGUCGUGAGAUGUCAUGUUAAGUCAUGCAACGAACAAGACCCAUAUCUAUAUUUGCUAACGCCUCUGUAAGAGGAGCGAGCACAAUAUAGAGACUGCCUUGGAAACAAGGAGGAAGGUGUGGGC
Molecule: ribosomal RNA, 1154 nt
Filed under: groundwater metagenome
Description: bacterial SSU rRNA
Rfam family: Archaeal small subunit ribosomal RNA
Source: RNAcentral